Miniopterus natalensis is the source of this 1384-nucleotide non-coding RNA. NCBI's taxonomy places the organism in Eukaryota, Metazoa, Chordata, Mammalia, Chiroptera, Miniopteridae. The record is from RefSeq and is a predicted model, not a curated record.
GCCUGUCAGAGCCCCUCUGCAAGCGCCAGGAUUUCUGCCGAGCGGAGGGACACAGCUCAGGUUUCUGAAACCAACACUAGAUGGAGUCAGGCUGAGCCAGGAGGAGUGGGGCCCAGAGGAAACGCAAAGGCCGAGCAAGAGGUUCUUGCAGCAGAAGUCUGCGUGUGCCUUCUGGCGUCUGGGAAAGAUCUGAUAAACCACUGUCCUGACAUCAUAAAGAGGAGAUGAACAAGUGAUUGAAGUCUAAGUAAGCAGUCACUUCAGGAGGGGCUGGCAGUCCAGACCUCUGCCCACUGCAGUUUGGGGAUGUCUUGAAUUCGAGUGUCCAAAGCUGGUGAUGAGCCUUCACGUGGAAUUCAAUAUCCAGGGCAAAUAACAGAGUGAACAGAACCCACAGAGCCUGUGUCCUGAGGAAGAUAUCACUUCUUUUCUGCAAGAAGCUCACUAAAUAGAGGAAGGCAUAAGCACUGUAUCCAGGAGUGAGGAAGGGUGGAAGCCAACCAGGCCUCUGUCUACCCUGAUGCCCACGCCAGAGCUGUUUGCGCUUCUGUGAUGGCAUUGCUUCCGUGCUGAUGGAACCUACCCCAGCAAAUGCUUGUGAGAGCCAAACUCAAGACACAGCCUCUUUAGCUCCACCACCUUGUCAGCAGGUAAGCAGCAUUUUCCAGAACUGUUGGCCUCACCUUCUUAGCUGCCAGAAGAACCCCCUGUGAACAUUCAGGGGCCCUGAUCCACAGAGACCUGGGGCAGUCUCUGUUCCUACGGAUGAAACACUGCUCUUCCAAAGAAGAAACAGCAGACUGGGCCGGAGUGAGAGACGGGUUCUGUGGCCAUGGGCUGAGCCCGCAGCUCUGCAGGUUCUAUGAGGGGCCAACAAAGGGUGGCUUGAGAAAGCAAUGCUGUGCCUGUAGAAAGCUAUAGGGAUAUAAGUGACUAUUGUUAUGCUUAUAGAAUUAUUUUGUGGUUAUUGUUACAAUGUGCAUACCUUGCCAGGAAGGGGCUAAGCAAACAUCUUUUUACUAUUUGCAUCAACCAAAGGUUCUUUGCACAGCCCCUGUUAACAUGUCUCCGCCCUGCAGUAUUGACCUGUAUUUCUGGGGCUGCCUCUGGGGUGCUCUUUGCCACUAAACAGAAAUGCAGGUAGUUAUAUGGACUGGUUCUUCUUGGAUUGGGUUUCUCUCCUUGUGUGUGAUGAAAGAUAAGCUAUAUUACAUAACAAAGUGCCUUGUUAUAAUAAUUUCCUGAAUUCCCAGGGCAUCUUUCAUCUGACUUGAUAACAAUGUAGUUCAUUAGCAGCCUUUGUUAGCUGAUCACCUAGAGCAGCAAUGCGAUACUCAUAAGCAGCUUUCCGUGUGUAAGAUACAAUAAACCAUCAUGUGAGCUA